RNAcentral lists this ribosomal RNA (550 nucleotides) under uncultured bacterium. Its description in RNAcentral is "bacterial SSU rRNA". It matches the Rfam family "Bacterial small subunit ribosomal RNA", at positions 355 to 896 of the family's 1533-position model. The record is from RNAcentral.
UAGGGAAUCUUCGGCAAUGGGGGCAACCCUGACCGAGCAACGCCGCGUGAGUGAAGAAGGUUUUCGGAUCGUAAAGCUCUGUUGUAAGUCAAGAACGAGUGUGAGAGUGGAAAGUUCACACUGUGACGGUAGCUUACCAGAAAGGGACGGCUAACUACGUGCCAGCAGCCGCGGUAAUACGUAGGUCCCGAGCGUUGUCCGGAUUUAUUGGGCGUAAAGCGAGCGCAGGCGGUUUGAUAAGUCUGAAGUUAAAGGCUGUGGCUCAACCAUAGUUCGCUUUGGAAACUGUCAAACUUGAGUGCAGAAGGGGAGAGUGGAAUUCCAUGUGUAGCGGUGAAAUGCGUAGAUAUAUGGAGGAACACCGGUGGCGAAAGCGGCUCUCUGGUCUGUAACUGACGCUGAGGCUCGAAAGCGUGGGGAGCGAACAGGAUUAGAUACCCUGGUAGUCCACACCGUAAACGAUGAAUACUAGGUGUUAGGAGGUUUCCGCCUCUUAGUGCCGAAGCUAACGCAUUAAGUAUUCCGCCUGGGGAGUACGACCGCAAGGUUG